GUGUAUAUGAAAUUUUUUUCUCUUUUACCACACAUGAUACGUUGCCAGAAACCAACCAUUCUAGCUUUAAUAAGAAUAUGUAAUGGUAUUCUACCCAAUUCUCCAUAAAUCAUACAAUGAGCAGUACUUUUUUUAACCUUCAAAAUUUAUUUUACAAAAUUGCAUAUGCAAGUUUUCUAUAAUAUUACAAUUUUCAAAACCCCAUACUUCUGCACCAUAUAACAAAAUAGGUACAACCAUUGUAUCAAAUAGCUCUAAUUGCAUAUCAAUUGGUAAAUUCAACUUCCUAGCCUUUCUUAAGACUAUAAACAUGGCUUUUCUUGCUUGCUGUACAAGAUGUGCUUUGGCGUCAUUAAAAUUAC
This 362-nucleotide long non-coding RNA is filed under the name Mytilus galloprovincialis (Mediterranean mussel). Lineage: Eukaryota; Metazoa; Mollusca; Bivalvia; Mytilida; Mytilidae. The record is from RNAcentral.